This 466-nucleotide ribosomal RNA is filed under the name uncultured bacterium. RNAcentral's name for it is "bacterial SSU rRNA". It matches the Rfam family "Bacterial small subunit ribosomal RNA", at positions 330 to 794 of the family's 1533-position model. The record is from RNAcentral.
UCCAGACUCCUACGGGAGGCAGCAGUGAGGAAUAUUGGUCAAUGGUCGGGAGACUGAACCAGCCAAGCCGCGUGAGGGAUGAAGGUACAGAGUAUCGUAAACCUCUUUUGUCAGGGAACAAAGGCGGGGACGCGUCCCCGGAUGAGUGUACCUGAAGAAAAAGCAUCGGCUAACUCCGUGCCAGCAGCCGCGGUAAUACGGAGGAUGCGAGCGUUAUCCGGAUUUAUUGGGUUUAAAGGGUGCGCAGGCGGUCUGUUAAGUCAGCGGUCAAAGCCCGGGGCUCAACCUCGCUCCGCCGUUGAAACUGGCGUCCUUGAGUGGGCGAGAAGUAUGCGGAAUGCGUGGUGUAGCGGUGAAAUGCAUAGAUAUCACGCAGAACUCCGAUUGCGAAGGCAGCAUACCGGCGCCCAACUGACGCUGAAGCACGAAAGCGUGGGUAUCGAACAGGAUUAGAUACCCGGGUAUA